UAAGGAAUAUUGGACAAUGGCGGCAACGCUGAUCCAGCCAUGCCGCGUGAAGGAUGAAGGCCCUAUGGGUUGUAAACUUCUUUUAUAUGAUAAAAAACCAUCGAACGUGUUCGGUGCUGAUUGUCGUAAGAAUAAGGGUCGGCUAACUCCGUGCCAGCAGCCGCGGUAAUACGGAGGACCCGAGCGUUAUCCGGAUUCAUUGGGUUUAAAGGGUGCGUAGGCGGGAUAGUAAGUCAGUGGUGAAAGCCUGCAGCUUAACUGCAGAACUGCCAUUGAUACUGCUAACCUUGAGUACAGCUGAUGAGGGCGGAAUAUGACAUGUAGCGGUGAAAUGCUUAGAUAUGUCAUAGAACACCGAUUGCGAAGGCAGCUCUCAAAACUGUUACUGACGCUGAGGCACGAAAGCGUGGGGAUCGAACAGGAUUAGAUACCCCGGUAGUCC
This 442-nucleotide ribosomal RNA is filed under the name uncultured bacterium. Its description in RNAcentral is "bacterial SSU rRNA". It matches the Rfam family "Bacterial small subunit ribosomal RNA", at positions 355 to 796 of the family's 1533-position model. The record is from RNAcentral.